Nicotiana attenuata is the source of this 1745-nucleotide long non-coding RNA. RefSeq lists it as uncharacterized. Lineage: Eukaryota; Viridiplantae; Streptophyta; Magnoliopsida; Solanales; Solanaceae. The record is from RefSeq and is a predicted model, not a curated record. The transcript has 5 exons.
AAACUUUAGUCGGUAAAAGAAGUACUUUUUAGUGACAAAAAAAUAUAGUCCAGAAAGAGAAAAACUAGACUUUUCAAUUCAAGUUGUGUGCCCUCCAAUUCGCUUUAGCUUCCCUCCAAUUAUUUUUAAUGUGCCCUCCAAUUCUCUUUAGCUUCCCUCCAAUUAUUUUUAGUCUCUAAAUUCCCCUAAUUCAAAUCUGAAGCCUACGAUCUCUCUCUCAGUGUCUCUCUCUCCAUUUCUCUUCCUCUGAUCGGUGAGUGUCUCUUCAAUUCAACUUAGUUAUUCUUUGACCUACUUCUCGGUUUUCCUAAAACUGUACUUACGAUUCAGCUAGCAUUUUAGUUGAGUUUAGUGUAAUAUCAAUCAGAUCUCGAUCUUAUAUAUGUUUAUACUUUAUACUGUUAGUGUAUAUAAUGUCUUUGCUCGUUGUUUUAAUUUCGAUUUUUGUAUUAGAUUUGGUGUUUUUACUCUACAAUCCGAAGUUGUUCUAGGCUUUGUAUUUCAACUCUCGGUAAUCUCCAUAGCUUCUAUUCACACAGAACAUUCCCUUCACUAUUCACCAGCAGUAGUCGGGCUCGGACAAUAAAGUUUUGUGGGGGUGCUUAAAUCAUAGUAGAAGGUGCAUACAUUUGGCAGUUCAGGCAACUUCGGAAAGUAGCUUACAGGUGAUACAGGGAUUCACAUACCUCCAAAUAUGUGAGAACUACUGGAUAGGUUAGACUGGUAGCUUGGGGUAUGAACUCAGUCAGCAAUGCCCUCUAUGCAAUGAUGCAGUUAUGGAUUUGUGAUUUGUAGAAGCCCUCUAUACCAGGUAAUUCAGAAGCAAAAAGGUUUGUGGCCUACUUUACUGAAAUAUAUUUGGAAACUUUCAUCGGAGAAGACAGUUGAUGUGCCGUUUAAUAAACGCCUCAAAGUAGUAAUGCCACCUCUGGUGAACAGGUAACUCAAUUUUAUAAGCUUUAAACAUUUUUAAUGAAAUUUUAAUUAUAUAAAAGUAUUAUUACCUAACAUGUUAGUAUUUAUUAGAUCCCUGACGCCAAUAGUGGACAUGAACGAGUACCACAAACAUCAAGGAUACCUAGUAUUACUGAAAAUACAUCACUUUAUCUCAUGACUUGUUUCAAGUUUAUUUUGAAUCAUUGCUAAUAUCAAACGCCUCUCACAAAGACAUCAUCAGUUUAUCUCUUUGUUAAAUCUGGUUGUUGCCUUGUGAGUGUUACUAAACAUUUUUCCAUGUCUAUGUAUUAGCUUUUCAACUGAGAUGUUAGCUCUUUCAGUGUGGAAACAAGCAAAUGCUAGCCUUUGCUGGCUUUUCCCUUUGGAGAAGAAUAGCUGGGACUAAAGGUCUCGGUAAUUUCCUUUUGUGGGGCAUAUAUUUCAAAUUUUGACAUAGUUAUCUUGUAAUUUCAGGUCAUACAUAAUUUAGUGUGUGGAAGAUUUCAAAAUGAUAAAAAAUUGUGGAAAUCAUUUGAAGACCAUCAUUCGUUUGGAUACAGCCUCUCUACCUGCAUUAGGUAGGGGUAAGGUCUGCUUACAGACUACCCUCCCCAGACCCCACAUGGUGGGAUCAAACCGGGUUUGUUGUUGUAGUUAUUUAGGUUGAACAAUAUAAGUUUAUUUUUUAAGUUACUGUGACAUUAAUAUCUUUUAUUAGCACUUCCUUUUGAUAAGAUUUAAUGAGAUAUAUUAUGUUUUUUUGAAUUAUUAAUAACAUAUUUUAUUAUUUGGAUCAUAUUUUAGACGAA